Molecule: unclassified non-coding RNA, 452 nt
Filed under: Hevea brasiliensis (rubber tree)
Lineage: Eukaryota; Viridiplantae; Streptophyta; Magnoliopsida; Malpighiales; Euphorbiaceae
Source: RNAcentral
AUUGCUCGAAAGCCAUCAGGUUUCGAAUAACACGCUCUGUGUCAUCGUUAGCUAAGAAUCUUAGCAUUUUCAACACUCCCCUCUCAAAUUUCAUGUCAAUUAGCCAUGCCUCUGAACUCGCCUUAAACUUCACUCCUGCCUCGCGUAACAUGGUGGCGUUGUAUACCUUCAUCACUGUGUUGUCGUUUCUCGACACUGGAAGCUUGAAGGAUCUAGAUUUUCGAGCCAAAUCAGUGAAAUUUAUGGGUUUCUCCUGAUUAAGGCCGCCUUCUUCAUCUUCUUUUUUUGCGCUUUGAUCCCCGUCCCUCAGACAGCAGAAGCAUCUGCUAAUCCAGAAACAAUACAAGCAAGAGAAGCAAUUGCAGAGCUCUAUGAUGAACACAGAAUCCAAGAGAAUCAUCUUGACGAAGUCUUCAAUAUAUACCUCAUCAAAUGUCUCUUCAUAACAAUGG